RNAcentral lists this ribosomal RNA (457 nucleotides) under uncultured bacterium. RNAcentral's name for it is "partial 16S ribosomal RNA". It matches the Rfam family "Bacterial small subunit ribosomal RNA", at positions 338 to 795 of the family's 1533-position model. The record is from RNAcentral.
CCUACGGGAGGCAGCAGUGGGGAAUAUUGCACAAUGGGGGAAACCCUGAUGCAGCGACGCCGCGCGAGUGAAGAAGUAUUUCGGUAUGUAAAGCCCUAUCAGCAGGGAAGAAAUAAAGUCCUUCGGACUUUGGACGGUACCUGACGAAGACGCCCCGGCUAACUACGUGCCAGCAGCCGCGGUAAUACGUAGGGGGCAAGCGUUAUGCGGAUUUACUGGGUGUAAAGGGAGCGUAGGCGGCAGCGCAAGGCUGGAGUGAAAACCCAUGGCUUAACCAUGGAACUGCUGUGGAAACUGUGCAGCUGGAGUGCGAGAGAGGUAAGCGGAAUUCGUGGUGUAGCGGGGAAAUGCAUAGAUAUUAGGAGGAACACCGGUGGCGAAGGCGGCUUACUGGACUGUAACUGACGUUGAGGCUCGAAAGCGUGGGGAGCGAACAGGAUUAGAUACCCCUGUAGUC